ACUUUAUGAGCUUGUACCAUUUGGGAACAUCCGACCCAUGGAUAUCGAAUUCUACUUUAACCGCAGAAUCAUAGGAAACCUUGGGAUGGAUACUUUUGAUUAUUUAAUCAAUAACAAAAUGGUCCGACUAUUUACCUUGCCUAACCAUGAGAGAACGAGUGUUCACAACCGCAAUAACUGGAUCUAUGACUUAGAUGAAC
Molecule: long non-coding RNA, 200 nt
Filed under: Lathyrus oleraceus (garden pea)
Lineage: Eukaryota; Viridiplantae; Streptophyta; Magnoliopsida; Fabales; Fabaceae
Description: Pisum sativum (pea) long non-coding RNA (PSAT_LNC035788)
Source: RNAcentral